AACGAACGCUGGCGGCAGGCUUAACACAUGCAAGUCGAACGCAUCCUUCGGGAUGAGUGGCAGACGGGUGAGUAACGCGUGGGAACGUGCCCUUCAGUUCGGAAUAACCCAGGGAAACUUGGGCUAAUACCGGAUACGUGCGAGAGCAGAAAGAUUGAUCGCUGAAGGAGCGGCCCGCGUCUGAUUAGCUAGUUGGUGAGGUAACGGCUCACCAAGGCGACGANCAGUAGCUGGUCUGAGAGGAUGAUCAGCCACACUGGGACUGAGACACGGCCCAGACUCCUACGGGAGGCAGCAGUGGGGAAUAUUGGACAAUGGGCGCAAGCCUGAUCCAGCCAUGCCGCGUGAGUGAUGAAGGCCUUAGGGUUGUAAAGCUCUUUCGCACGCGACGAUAAUGACGGUAGCGUGAGAAGAACGCCCCGGCUAACUUCGUGCCAGCAGCCGCGGUAAC
RNAcentral lists this ribosomal RNA (451 nucleotides) under uncultured bacterium. RNAcentral's name for it is "bacterial SSU rRNA". It matches the Rfam family "Bacterial small subunit ribosomal RNA", at positions 29 to 524 of the family's 1533-position model. The record is from RNAcentral.